Molecule: ribosomal RNA, 628 nt
Filed under: uncultured bacterium
Lineage: Bacteria
Description: bacterial SSU rRNA
Rfam family: Bacterial small subunit ribosomal RNA
Source: RNAcentral
GAUGAACGCUAGCUACAGGCUUAACACAUGCAAGUCGAGGGGCAUCAGGAAGAAAGCUUGCUUUCUUUGCUGGCGACCGGCGCACGGGUGAGUAACACGUAUCCAACCUGCCCUUUACUCGGGGAUAGCCUUUCGAAAGAAAGAUUAAUACCCGAUGGUAUAAUUAUUCCGCAUGGUUUGAUUAUUAAAGGAUUCCGGUAAAGGAUGGGGAUGCGUUCCAUUAGGUUGUUGGUGAGGUAACGGCUCACCAAGCCUUCGAUGGAUAGGGGUUCUGAGAGGAAGGUCCCCCACAUUGGAACUGAGACACGGUCCAAACUCCUACGGGAGGCAGCAGUGAGGAAUAUUGGUCAAUGGGCGCGAGCCUGAACCAGCCAAGUAGCGUGAAGGAUGACUGCCCUAUGGGUUGUAAACUUCUUUUAUAUUAGAAUAAAGUGCAGUAUGUAUACUGUUUUGUAUGUAUAAUAUGAAUAAGGAUCGGCUAACUCCGUGCCAGCAGCCGCGGUAAUACGGAGGAUCCGAGCGUUAUCCGGAUUUAUUGGGUUUAAAGGGAGCGUAGGUGGACUGGUAAGUCAGUUGUGAAAGUUUGCGGCUCAACCGUAAAAUUGCAGUUGAUACUGUCAGUCUUGAG